This 359-nucleotide unclassified non-coding RNA is filed under the name uncultured Glomeromycotina. RNAcentral's name for it is "sequence contains 28S rRNA gene". Lineage: Eukaryota; Fungi; Glomeromycota. The record is from RNAcentral.
AGAGUUAAACAGUACGUGAAAUUGUUGAAAGGGAAACGAUUGAAGUCAGUCAUGCUAGUAGGAAAUCAACUUGGCGUUGCUUGCUCCUCCUUGUGUACUUUCUUGAUUGGCAGGUUAGCAUCAAUUUUAGUUGUCAUCAAAGAAUUUGGGGAAUGUGGCUACUCUUCGGAGAAGUGUUAUAGACCCUGAUAGAUGUGACGACUGGGAUUGAGGAUUGCAGCGGAUGCCUUUGGCUAGUCACCUGUCUUCUGGCGGUCACCUCGCUUUUGACAGCUUGCUGAUGAUUGUGGGAUUUGGCAGUCUAGAAGGUAGAAUGAUCAUAAAUUCGCUAAGGAUGCUGACAUAAUGGCUUUAAACGA